GACGAACGCUGGCGGCGUGCUUAACACAUGCAAGUCGAACGGUGAUGCUCCAGCUUGCUGGAGUGGAUCAGUGGCGAACGGGUGAGUAACACGUGAGCAACCUGCCCCAGACUCUGGUAUAAGCGCUGGAAACGGCGUCUAAUACUGGAUACGAAACUUGCCCGCAUGGGCAUGGUUUGGUAAGUUUUUCGGUUUGGGAUGGGCUCGCUGCCUAUCAGCUUGUUGGUGAUGUAAUUGCUCACCAAAGCGACGACGGGUAGCCGGCCUGAGAGGGGGACCGGCCACAAUGGGACUGAGACACGGACCAGACUCAAACGGGAGGCAGCAGUGGGGAAUAUUGCACAAUGGGAGAAAGCCUGAUGCAGAGACGCCGCGUGAGGGAUGACGGCCUACGGGUUGUAAACCUAUUUCAGCAGGGAAGAAGAGAAAGUGACGGUACCUGCAGAAGAAGCAACGGCUAACUACGUG
This 468-nucleotide ribosomal RNA is filed under the name uncultured bacterium. RNAcentral describes it as "partial 16S ribosomal RNA". It matches the Rfam family "Bacterial small subunit ribosomal RNA", at positions 28 to 507 of the family's 1533-position model. The record is from RNAcentral.